GGACUGCAUAAGGCACAGAUUAAAUAGAUAUAAUAAUUAAUUUAUUGACAAAAUGAGUGAACGGAGCUAACUUAUGGAUCCAAAUUUAUAAAAGAAAAAUAUGGAUCCAAUUACAUCUUAACUAAAAACUAGUAAAAAUAGCCAACAUAAAAUAUGCUCUAAUGAAAGCCAAAACUAACAAGGUUUUAUACGCUACAAUAAGCCCAACUCGGCUUCAUCAAAACCGCUCUUUUUCCAAACAUACCCAAAGCCCCGCCAUUUUUCUUUGUUUUAAGAGCACAGUGGAGAGACUAUUUGCUCCCUUUCUCUUUGAGUAGGAGAACAAAAAGAGUUAGGACUUUCAUCUGCUUAGAAACGAGACUCUUUGUUACUAUUCAAAACUUUAAGGGGAUGAUAUAUAUAUAUAUGUAGAUCAUGUUGUCAUUAAUGAUGAUGGGGUUUGUUCGGUCGUGAUUAUGUCAUUAGAUGGCCAUGCAGAUGUGAAUUGUUGCAGUUGCCUGAACAUCAAAAUUUGGCGUAUGUUUAAGAGCUUUUGUCGCAGCAUACGAUGCUCAGACCGAAGCCGGUCGUUCUCCCUCUGUUCGCCCUGGCAAUUGUACAGGACUAAGCGCAAACGGUUCGUUAGUUCCCGAUUCUCAAUCCUCAGCCGGUUCACCUGGUUUCUUAGGUUUUCUAAGUGCCUCUGUUUUCGCAUGCGUGACCGCCUCGCUGACUCCCGGUUCGAUAUCAUCCGCCUCAGUUUUCGCUCAUCGACAACCGAAACGGUGCUCUGGUUCGGGUCAUCAGAAUUGGAGUUAGAGUUGGUAGGGUUUGAGUCAGAACGGUUCGGUUCGUUUGGUUUAUCAGAAACAGAACUCAAAACAACAGGUUUUGGUGAUGGAGGGUCAUCGGUGGCGGCAAAAAGGUCGGAAUAGUCCCAUAGCUUGAAGCCGUUUGACAAGGACGGAAAUGGGUUUCCAAGCAUGGAAUCGGGGGAGGAGAAGAAGGCUGCAGGAACAGCAGACAACAUGGCCGACGAAAUUGCUCAAUAGAUAGGAGAGAAAAGGAGGAGGAGGAAAGGGAAUAAAUGCGGCCUAGGGGCCUCAUAUUUAUGGGCAAAACUGGACUGCAUUCCUGGGAGGUGGGACCCACUUUUUUUUGGGGCGUGAAAAAUGCACUCCAGGGGUAUUUUGGUCUAUUUGCUCUUAUGGUGAUUACUGGGAUUGGCUUUCGAGUCAGUGGGCACUAAUGCGGUGGGGUGGGUUAGUUCAAUUCAAGCCUUAGCUAUGCCUUUUUGCAAGCCCGCAUAUACAUAUAUGGCCAUUUGGAGCUGACAUAAGCUGGUGGGUCCACUGUAGAAACAAAGAUUUGGGUCCCACUUUUAUGAAAGGAAAUAGUGCUAAUAGCCAAUAGUUUAGAAAGUAGCUGACGUGGAGCCACGUAUGCAGGUACCUGAGCUUGAGCCUAGUGGUUAACGGUGAUCAGGUCGCUUGGCUGGUCUGAUCGAUGGGCACAAAUAUGGCCUUUGAUUUGUUUAGUUGGCAGAGAGAGUGUAAAUAAAGAUGGCCACCACCCAUUACCUUAAGUGACGUCGCAUUUACC
Molecule: unclassified non-coding RNA, 1581 nt
Filed under: Hevea brasiliensis (rubber tree)
Lineage: Eukaryota; Viridiplantae; Streptophyta; Magnoliopsida; Malpighiales; Euphorbiaceae
Source: RNAcentral